UACAGAGGUCUCAAGCGUUGUUCGGAUUCAUUGGGCGUAAAGGGUGCGUAGGUGGCGUCGUAAGUCAGGUGUGAAAUCUCCGGGCUUAACUCGGAACGGUCAACUGAUACUGCUCGGCUAGAGUGCGGAAGGGGCAACUGGAAUUCUUGGUGUAGCGGUGAAAUGCGUAGAUAUCAAGAGGAACACCUGCGGCGAAGGCGGGUUGCUGGGCCGACACUGACGCUGAGGUGCGAAAGCGUGGGGAGCAAACAGG
RNAcentral lists this ribosomal RNA (253 nucleotides) under uncultured prokaryote. Its description in RNAcentral is "partial 16S ribosomal RNA". It matches the Rfam family "Bacterial small subunit ribosomal RNA", at positions 524 to 776 of the family's 1533-position model. The record is from RNAcentral.